This 23-nucleotide non-coding RNA is filed under the name Mus musculus (house mouse). The record is from RNAcentral. Lineage: Eukaryota; Metazoa; Chordata; Mammalia; Rodentia; Muridae. RNAcentral also lists the same sequence under 1 other name.
UACUUUGCAGUCUGUGUUCUCCU